GACGAACGCUGGCGGCGUGCUUAACACAUGCAAGUCGAACGGAAAGGCCCUGCUUGCAGGGUACUCGAGUGGCGAACGGGUGAGUAACACGUGGGUGAUCUGCCCUGCACUUCGGGAUAAGCCUGGGAAACUGGGUCUAAUACCGGAUAGGAGCCAUUUUUAGUGUGAUGGUUGGAAAGUUUUUUCGGUGUAGGAUGAGCUCGCGGCCUAUCAGCUUGUUGGUGGGGUAAUGGCCUACCAAGGCGGCGACGGGUAGCCGGCCUGAGAGGGUGGACGGCCACAGUGGGACUGAGAUACGGCCCAGACUCCUACGGGAGGCAGCAGUGGGGAAGAUUGCACAAUGGGCGCAAGCCUGAUGCAGCGACGCCGCGGGGGGGAUGACGGCCUUCGGGUUGUAAACUCCUUUCGCUAGGGACGAAGCUUUUUGUGACGGUACCUAGAUAAGAAGCAGCGGCUAACUACGUG
RNAcentral lists this ribosomal RNA (465 nucleotides) under uncultured bacterium. RNAcentral's name for it is "partial 16S ribosomal RNA". It matches the Rfam family "Bacterial small subunit ribosomal RNA", at positions 28 to 507 of the family's 1533-position model. The record is from RNAcentral.